GACGAACGCUGGCGGCGUGCCUAAUACAUGCUAAGUCGAGCGGAACUUAGAAAGCUUGCUUUCUAAGUUUAGCGGCGGACGGGUGAGUAACACGUGGGCAACCUGCCUAUAAGACUGGGAUAACUUCGGGAAACCGGAGCUAAUACCGGAUAAUAUAAAAGAUCACAUGGUCUUUUAUUGAAAGAUGGCUUCGGCUAUCACUUAUAGAUGGGCCCGCGGCGCAUUAGCUAGUUGGUGAGGUAAUGGCUCACCAAGGCGACGAUGCGUAGCCGACCUGAGAGGGUGAUCGGCCACACUGGGACUGAGACACGGCCCAGACUCCUACGGGAGGCAGCAGUAGGGAAUCUUCCGCAAUGGACGAAAGUCUGACGGAGCAACGCCGCGUGAACGAUGAAGGCCUUCGGGUCGUAAAGUUCUGUUGUUAGGGAAGAACAAGUAUCGUUCGAAUAGGGCGGUACCUUGACGGUACCUAACCAGAAAGCCACGGCUAACUACGUG
Molecule: ribosomal RNA, 498 nt
Filed under: uncultured bacterium
Lineage: Bacteria
Description: bacterial SSU rRNA
Rfam family: Bacterial small subunit ribosomal RNA
Source: RNAcentral